Molecule: ribosomal RNA, 811 nt
Filed under: uncultured organism
Description: SSU rRNA
Rfam family: Bacterial small subunit ribosomal RNA
Source: RNAcentral
GCGGCGUGCCUAAUACAUGCAAGUAGAACGUUUAAGAGAGGAGCUUGCUCUUCUUGGAUGAGUUGCGAACGGGUGAGUAACGCGUAGGUAACCUGCCUUGUAGCGGGGGAUAACUAUUGGAAACGAUAGCUAAUACCGCAUAACAAUGGAUGACACAUGUCAUUUAUUUGAAAGGGGCAAUUGCUCCACUACAAGAUGGACCUGCGUUGUAUUAGCUAGUAGGUGAGGUAACGGCUCACCUAGGCGACGAUACAUAGCCGACCUGAGAGGGUGAUCGGCCACACUGGGACUGAGACACGGCCCAGACUCCUACGGGAGGCAGCAGUAGGGAAUCUUCGGCAAUGGGGGCAACCCUGACCGAGCAACGCCGCGUGAGUGAAGAAGGUUUUCGGAUCGUAAAGCUCUGUUGUAAGUCAAGAACGAGUGUGAGAGUGGAAAGUUCACACUGUGACGGUAGCUUACCAGAAAGGGACGGCUAACUACGUGCCAGCAGCCGCGGUAAUACGUAGGUCCCGAGCGUUGUCCGGAUUUAUUGGGCGUAAAGCGAGCGCAGGCGGUUUGAUAAGUCUGAAGUUAAAGGCUGUGGCUCAACCAUAGUUCGCUUUGGAAACUGUCAAACUUGAGUGCAGAAGGGGAGAGUGGAAUUCCAUGUGUAGCGGUGAAAUGCGUAGAUAUAUGGAGGAACACCGGUGGCGAAAGCGGCUCUCUGGUCUGUAACUGACGCUGAGGCUCGAAAGCGUGGGGAGCGAACAGGAUUAGAUACCCUGGUAGUCCACGCCGUAAACGAUGAGUGCUAGGUGUUGGACCCUUU